GUGGGGAAUAUUGCACAAUGGGCGCAAGCCUGAUGCAGCAACGCCGCGUGAGGGACGACGGCCUUCGGGUUGUAAACCUCUUUUAGCAGGGAAGAAGCGAAAGUGACGGUACCUGCAGAAAAAGCACCGGCUAACUACGUGCCAGCAGCCGCGGUAAUACGUAGGGUGCAAGCGUUGUCCGGAAUUAUUGGGCGUAAAGAGCUCGUAGGCGGUUUGUCGCGGCUGCUGUGAAAACCCGAGGCUCAACCGCGGACCUGCAGUGGGGACGGGCAGACUAGAGUGCGGUAGGGGAGAUUGGAAUUCCUGGUGUAGCGGUGGAAUGCGCAGAUAUCAGGAGGAACACCGAUGGCGAAGGCAGAUCUCUGGGCCGUAACUGACGCUGAGGAGCGAAAGCGUGGGGAGCGAACAGGAUUAGAUACCCUUGUAGUCC
This 430-nucleotide ribosomal RNA is filed under the name uncultured bacterium. RNAcentral describes it as "partial 16S ribosomal RNA". It matches the Rfam family "Bacterial small subunit ribosomal RNA", at positions 354 to 796 of the family's 1533-position model. The record is from RNAcentral.